CGCGCAGGCGGUUUGAAUAGUCAGAUGUGAAAGCCCACGGCUUAACCGUGGAAGUGCAUUUGAAACUGUCAGACUUGAGUACCAGAGGGGAAAGUGGAAUUCCCGGUGUAGAGGUGAAAUUCGUAGAUAUCGGGAGGAAUACCGGUGGCGAAGGCGACUUUCUGGCUGGAUACUGACGCUGAGGCGCGAAAGCGUGGGGAGCAAGCA
This 207-nucleotide ribosomal RNA is filed under the name uncultured Desulfobulbus sp. Its description in RNAcentral is "partial 16S ribosomal RNA". It matches the Rfam family "Bacterial small subunit ribosomal RNA", at positions 568 to 774 of the family's 1533-position model. Lineage: Bacteria; Pseudomonadati; Thermodesulfobacteriota; Desulfobulbia; Desulfobulbales; Desulfobulbaceae. The record is from RNAcentral.